GGACGAACGCUGGCGGCGUGCCUAAUACAUGCAAGUCGAACGGUCUUUCUAUGGAAGCUUGCUUCCACUGGGAAGAUAGUGGCGGACGGGGUGAGUAACACGUGGGUAACCUGCCCAUAAGAGGGGGAUAACAUCCGGAAACGGGUGCUAAUACCGCAUAGUUUUCUUGAUCGCAUGAUUGAGAAAGGAAAGACGGCCUUUGUGCUGUCGCUUAUGGAUGGACCCGCGGCGUAUUAGUUAGUUGGUGAGGUAACGGCUCACCAAGACGAUGAUACGUAGCCGACCUGAGAGGGUGAUCGGCCACAUUGGGACUGAGACACGGCCCAAACUCCUACGGGAGGCAGCAGUAGGGAAUCUUCCGCAAUGGACGAAAGUCUGACGGAGCAACGCCGCGUGAGUGAAGAAAAGGUUUUCGGAUCGUAAAACUCUGUUGUCAGAGAAGAACAAGUCGGAGAGUAACUGCUCCGGCCUUGACGGUAUCUGACCAGAAAGCCACGGCUAACUACGUGCCAGCCGCUGC
Molecule: ribosomal RNA, 520 nt
Filed under: uncultured bacterium
Lineage: Bacteria
Description: bacterial SSU rRNA
Rfam family: Bacterial small subunit ribosomal RNA
Source: RNAcentral